Long non-coding RNA from Dicentrarchus labrax (European seabass), 430 nucleotides. RefSeq lists it as uncharacterized. The record is from RefSeq and is a predicted model, not a curated record. Lineage: Eukaryota; Metazoa; Chordata; Actinopteri; Moronidae. The transcript has 2 exons.
GCUGCUUCUUGCCACCCUUCAUGGCCAGGUUCUCAGCCUCAUCCAGGCGGUGCUGGAGGUCCUUAACGGCAACCUCCAGGUUCUUCUUCAUCCUCUCCAGGUGCCAAGUCAGAUGACCCGCUGUCACCUGACUGGGUUCCAUUCGUCUUCUCAUACACACCAGCCACCAAGAAGAGAAAAUGGGAGAAGAAAGACAUGGAAAGGCAUGAGCAGCACAGAAGACCAAGAGGGUGGAGGAGAAAAAGAAACAAGAUGCUGAGGAUGAACAGUGUGACAACAGAUUACAGAGGGAAUGUAACAACCUCAGGGAGGAAACCAUAAACUGAAGGACAUUAUUAAAUCAGGAACAUUUGAUGUACUAGCUUCUGAAAAGGAUCAUGAGAAAAUGAAGGCAAUGACUGGAAUCCCCACAUACUCCAAGUCACAAGUA